UGACUGGGGCAGAAGGAGAACCCAAGAAAAGCUGACUUGGAGGCCCCUCCUUCUGUUCCCACAG
This 64-nucleotide microRNA precursor is filed under the name Cebus imitator (Panamanian white-faced capuchin). RNAcentral describes it as "miRNA (ENSCCAG00000017064.1)". Lineage: Eukaryota; Metazoa; Chordata; Mammalia; Primates; Cebidae. The record is from RNAcentral.